Molecule: ribosomal RNA, 492 nt
Filed under: uncultured bacterium
Lineage: Bacteria
Description: partial 16S ribosomal RNA
Rfam family: Bacterial small subunit ribosomal RNA
Source: RNAcentral
UGGGGAAUCGUUCCGCAAUGGACGAAAGUCUGACGGAGCAACGCCGCGUGUAUGAUGAAGGUCUUCGGAUUGUAAAGUACUGUCAUUGGGGAAGAACGGUUUUCUUGAAAAGAUUGAGAAGACAUGACGGUACCCAAGGAGGAAGCCCCGGCUAACUACGUGCCAGCAGCCGCGGUAAUACGUAGGGGGCAAGCGUUGUCCGGAAAUUAUUGGGCGUAAAGGGCGCGUAGGCGGGCCUUUAAGUCCGGUGUGAAAGAUCAGGGCUCAACCCUGAGAGUGCAUCGGAAACUGGAGGCCUUGAGGACAGGAGAGGAAAGUGGAAUUCCACGUGUAGCGGUGAAAUGCGUAGAUAUGUGGAGGAACACCAGUGGCGAAGGCGACUUUCUGGACUGUAACUGACGCUGAGGCGCGAAAGCGUGGGGAGCAAAACAGGAUUAGAUACCCUGGUAGUCCACGCCGUAAACGAUGAGUGCUAGGUGUAGAGGGUAUCGA